Homarus americanus (American lobster) is the source of this 1478-nucleotide RNA transcript. It is a transcript of the gene named centromere protein S-like, with no coding region annotated. Lineage: Eukaryota; Metazoa; Arthropoda; Malacostraca; Decapoda; Nephropidae. The record is from RefSeq and is a predicted model, not a curated record. The transcript has 5 exons.
GGUUUGUCAGUGUCUGUGUGUCAUACUACAGCUGACUGGUGACGGCCAUGGAGGCAGACGAGGAGGAGAAGUUAAACCAUUUACAGACCCUAAAGGCAGCGAUUCACUUCACUGUGGGUCGUAUCUGUGAGGAGGUCGGGGCUGAGCUGGGGCUGACCUACCACAGGAAGGUCAUCGCUACCCUCUCAGAGAUUACCUGCUCACAACUUGAACAUUACGCUACUGAUGUUGAAGCCUUUUCCAACCAUGCCCGCCGAACAACUGUCAGCACAGAUGACGUGAAACUUCUUGUUCGUCGUAAUCCCCAGCUGGCUGAACAUAUUAAAGAAAUGACAGACAGCAUGGAGGAAACUAGAAAGAAGAAAGGGAAACGAGGAAGAAAACCUAAGAUUAAAGACCCGCCUGAAGACAACACUGAACAGACUGUUAUUGAUGAUUAACCCUCUCGCUGCUGGACAGUGAAAUAUUUGUCAUACAUUGCACGCUAACUUUUGUGUGCAAAGAUAUGUUUAUCCCCUCUAUGCUUUUGAUCUUAAGGUGUAGUAAAGUCAGUACAUGACAGUAAAGUAAUCAGACAGCAGCUCUUCUCCUUGAAGGAUGUCCCGUGUAGCCACCAGUGCCACUAUACGAAGAGGAACUUGAGCCACAGGUGCAUCUUGAGGCGGGGAGUACCACAGGUUGGGAAGGUACUGCCGCUCUUCUAGAGGGACCUCCCCUGGUUGUACUGUUACCUCUUGAUAAGCAACAUUGCUAGGAUGACCUAUAACAUUCAAUUGGUAAUAUUUGUCAAGGAAUUUAUUAAUGUACAUACACUGUUAAUGGACUAAAGAAUGAAAUUUAUCCCACUACAACAUUAUUAUCAGUGCCUUCCAUAAUUGAUGCAAUGUAGAGUUAGGAAUAUAAGAUAAACUAACAGCAGUUCAGAAUUAAAAGGGACACAAGGAGAAUCUUUCAAGCAACUGCUAAACACAGCUGCUGAGAGGAGUAACCUUAUCAUAUUUGAGAUGUGUUCAGGUGAAACUGACAAUCUUUAAGUGAAGAAUGGUAAGGCACCAGUUGAGGGAGUUACUGUUGAGAUGGGAGGUGGAACACUGAGAGAAUGAAUGAGUAAAGGUUAGAGUACCAAGGCUGGGUUUUAUAUGUGAAGAGUUUAAGACCCCAUGAUGCAAUUAGAGUUUGUAAGGUCUUGUAGGCAAUGGUGUAGAUUUGUUGUGACUUCCUAGACUAGUAAAUGAAGUGUACUGUAUAUUUCUAUGAAUAUAAAUAUACAGUAUUAUGUAACAUAAAACUAGAUAUCUUCAAGCAUGUUUAUUAGACUGAAAAGAAGCUACAAAAGUAAGAAGGCAUUUAUUCUAAUUUUUGCAAAUGUUUUACAAUACAAAAAAAUAAUUCUGGCAAGCCAAGGUACAAAACUUGAUAAACCAUAAAAUUUCCUGAAUCCUCAAUCAACGCAUUUUUUAAUACAAGCUUGACAUUAC